UAGAGUUUGAUCCUGGCUCAGAUUGAACGCUGGCGGCAUGCUUUACACAUGCAAGUCGAACGGCAGCGCGGGGCAACCUGGCGGCGAGUGGCGAACGGGUGAGUAAUAUAUCGGAACGUACCCAGAAGUGGGGGAUAACGUAGCGAAAGUUACGCUAAUACCGCAUACGAUCUACGGAUGAAAGUGGGGGACCUUCGGGCCUCAUGCUUUUGGAGCGGCCGAUAUCUGAUUAGCUAGUUGGUGAGGUAAAGGCUCACCAAGGCGACGAUCAGUAGCUGGUCUGAGAGGACGACCAGCCACACUGGGACUGAGACACGGCCCAGACUCCUACGGGAGGCAGCAGUGGGGAAUUUUGGACAAUGGGGGCAACCCUGAUCCAGCAAUGCCGCGUGAGUGAAGAAGGCCUUCGGGUUGUAAAGCUCUUUUGUCAGGGAAGAAAAGGGAGUGGCUAAUAUCCAUUCCUGCUGACGGUACCUGAAGAAUAAGCACCGGCUAACUACGUGCCAGCAGCCGCGGUAAUACGUAGGGUGCAAGCGUUAAUCGGAAUUACUGGGCGUAAAGCGUGCGCAGGCGGUUUCGUAAGUCUGUCGUGAAAUCCCCGGGCUUAACCUGGGAAUGGCGAUGGAGACUGCGAGGCUAGAGUUUGGCAGAGGGGGGUAGAAUUCCACGUGUAGCAGUGAAAUGCGUAGAGAUGUGGAGGAACACCGAUGGCGAAGGCAGCCCCCUGGGUCAAAACUGA
Molecule: ribosomal RNA, 739 nt
Filed under: bacterium enrichment culture clone ADE_32
Lineage: Bacteria
Description: bacterial SSU rRNA
Rfam family: Bacterial small subunit ribosomal RNA
Source: RNAcentral